This is a long non-coding RNA of Xiphophorus couchianus (Monterrey platyfish), 672 nucleotides long. RefSeq lists it as uncharacterized. The transcript has 2 exons. The record is from RefSeq and is a predicted model, not a curated record. NCBI's taxonomy places the organism in Eukaryota, Metazoa, Chordata, Actinopteri, Cyprinodontiformes, Poeciliidae.
CCACAUUCUGUUGUUUUCUCCAUUGUCUUCCAGUAGUAACAUCUACAAUGUCAGGGUUCCUGUGUGGGUGUGUGAGUGCGAGUAACAUAUCUCUUCUAACGAGGAUCUUGGUGGAGAGCCUGGGCAGCCUUUACAGGUGGAGCUCAUCAGCCUCAUCAGAGUGCUGGGGAUAAAGGAGCAGCAGAGCCUUCAUUCAGUGCUGGAUGAUUAACGUCUACUGGUUUUGUCACUGGAUCUUUCUAGAGGAAUUAGUUCAACCAUUUUCUCCUCCUGUGGAACCCACCAGCAAGUACCUGCCUGCCUGCUCUAUCGUUCCCCCCAUCUCCACUCCGCUCAAUCAGACCUCUGGCUCUCGGUCACCACCUACCUCGCACUCGCCUCAGGAAGCACCAUCACCAUUCUCCACACAGGACCCCUGGGCACCUCUCUCCCACGCUUCACCAAACCCAUUUGAAAGUAAGCUUUUUCUUACUGCAUCUGAUCAACUCAUCACAGGCCACCAAUAACCCAACUCUCAUUCCAGGCGCCAUGGAUUGUGUGACACUCACCCCUCCCAGAAACAUCAAGGAGACCUGUCAGUAGUCGCUUGUUCUUUUGAAAGAAAUAAAACCUAUUCCUAACUUUGACUUGUUGAUUCUGCAUGUGGGUCAGAAGGUUAAAUCCGAACAUGUC